CAAAUAGGGGCCCUUUAAAGUUUAAAUACCCCACGUAUUUUAGCGUAUUUCCCCAAAAUACUCCAUCACUAUGUUGCCAUAUGUUUGGGGAUGCUCUGGUGGUGUUUUAGGGAUUUUCGAUAUUUUUCGAUACCAUGGCCACCGGACGGUCCCCUUAAGAACUGAGUCCCAAGUAUAGGAGAGAGGAUGACCUCACCCCUAAGAACAACUUUCACUCCCCAAGACACACACCAGUACAAACCCAAAACUUACAAGGCAGAGGCCAUAUCCUGAGGUGGGUGCAGCACUUGUAUCCCAUGAUUGAGGGACAAAGCCAGAGGAGUGAGAGGAGCAUAAUAGCUUUCGCCCUGAGAAUGGUCCAAGAACCUCGAACCCCACAGCAGAGAAUACAUAGAACCAUAUAUAUAAGGAACCCAAAAGAAAACUUAAUGAAUUACCCUGAGAGCCAAAACAACAGGGCCCAGAGAAAAGGUAUCCAAAUACCUAUGAGUAAUAUCCAUGAGAUAAAAAGAAGCAAAAGUGGACAUACUCUUCCAGGUUCCUGCUCGAAGAACGGCAGGAAUAUUCCGAAUUUUCCUGAACAAGGCACUCGUCGCCACUGCUCUAACUUCAUGUUCCUUCACCUGAACCAAGCGUAUUUCCUCCUCAGACACAUCUACAUGCGCACACUGGAUAACCUGACAUAUCCAGUGGGAAAUAGUAUGAGGAUGCACUACAUGCCAAGGCUCAGAAUCUGUCACAAAAAAGCGGGAACAUCUAGGACAACAGUCCCUGGUUCUGCGAAGGUACUCCCUGAUGGCUCUAACUGGGCACUCUGAAAGAGCAGGAAUGGUGAAGUCGGACUGCAAUACAUCAACUGGGAGUUGAGUCUUCGCUAGAAAAUCCGAGGCUAAAGAGAAAGUCAUAGAAGCCCAACCCUUUGAGUGACGAACUUCCACAGCAGAUGCUAAAGCCAAGAGAAAGGAGGACUUCAGUGCAACGUCCCUCAAAGAAGCCAAACGCAGAGGCUCAUAAGGGGACUUUAUUAAUGAGCGUAAAACUUAAGGAUAAAUCCCACGCAGGAACGCGUAGUGAACGAGGGGGAGCCAACUUGGCAAACCCCCGAAACAGAGCUGACAGAUCCUUAUCUUGUGAGAUAUUCAAGCCAGCCUACUGGAAAACGGGGUCCAAAGCAGAACGAUAGCCCCUAAUGGACGGUAAGGACAAAUGUUUAGUGUCCCAAAGAAAAAUUAAAGUCUGUUAAAUCCAUCACAGAUGUCAAGAGAGGAUGACAACCCCUCAACUUACACCACCCACAGAAGACAGACCACUUUGCCUGAUUGACUCUGGCAGAGGACUGUCUGACCGGACGUGGGGUCAUAAAUCUAGCAGCCUUCCGUGAAAAGCCUCUCUUUCGGAAGAGAUGCUGGAGAGUCUCCACGUGUGAAGGUGAAGAACCCCUGGCUACUUGUGAAAGAGGUGGCGAUGAGGCUGGCGGAGCAGAGAGGCCCAUUGUAGCAACACUUGAGGAGACUCAGAAGCAGAGGAAACCAGUCUGCCUGGUGCCACCGCAGGGCAGAGUCAUGCGAACACAAGCGGAAUCUCUGACUCGAACUAGCACCCGCUGAAUCAGAGAGAAGGGAGGAAAGGCAUAUAGAUCCAAGCCUUCCCAUGGAAAGGCAAAAGCAUCCUCUUUUCAAGCUCCUGGAUUGGGCAGGGGAGGUACAUAAAGAGGUAACUGGUGAUUUAAGGCAGUGGCAAACCUGUGGUGCACCCCACACCUAGAAGACCUGCCUGCACACUGCAGGAUGCAGGGUCCACUCUGACCCCACACACUCAUGACUGAGGACAUCUGCUACUGCAUUGCACCGUCCUGGCACAAACCUUGGGAGAAGAAAGACUGAAUUGUCCUCGCACCACCGGAGAAUGUCCCCCGCCAGACCCGAGAGAGACUCGGACCGGAUGCCCCCAGAGUUUCUCAAAUAGGCCACCACUGUCGAAUUGUCUGACAUGAGAGACACCACUGUGCCUGAGACUUCCUGCUGAAAGGACUGCAGAGCCCAGAAAACAGCCAUCAUCUCCAGGUGGUUGAUGUGAAACCUCCGCUCCUGAGGAGACCACACCCCCGAGACUAGAGAGUCCCCCAGAUGAGCACCCCAACUGUGAAGGGAUGCAUCAGAAAACAGAGACUGUUCCGGAGGUGCCAUCACAAAGGGAGCUCCCUUGAUUAGAUGACCUGGAUCCAUCCACCAGGAGAGGUCUGCCAGACACCACUGUGAAGGAGGAACCUGCCAUGAAGGAGGGUCCGACGCUGCCUUCCAAUGAUUUUUCAGGCACCACUGAGGGGGCCGAGAGCGUACCCGGCCACCUGGGACAAGCCUCUCCAGGGAAGCGAGAUGACCCAGGAAUGACCUCCAUAGACACACUGUAGGGGCUCUGUCCUCUAAAAAAUUCUGCACCACUGAGAGAAACCGGCUGAUCCUUUCUGGCAACUGAAAAACCAGAGUUCUUACUGAAUCCAGCACCAUGCCCAGGUACUGCUUCCUUUGGCUGGGUACCAGGUCUGAUUUGGGCAGAUUGAUCUGAAUACCCAAGUGAGCACACAGCUGUAACACAUCCUGGAUGGCGCCUAUGCAUCCCUGGAGAGUCGUCCCUGUGACCAACCAAUUGUCCAGCUAACAGCGCAGGAAGAUAUUGUGUCGAUGAGCCCAUGAAGACACUGGAGCCAUCACUUUGGUGAAGACCUGUGGGAUGGUGGCGAAGCCAAAACAAAGAACUUUAAACUGAAAAACCUUGCUCUACACAAGGCACAUGAGUCUGGUUGACCAGCAUGGGAGUCUUGUGGCUGGUACCAACACUCACACUCUGGGAAUGGAGAAGUCCAUCAGACAUAAUAGUACUAAGCUCCACCCCCAAAGUACGUGGAAUGGUCUCACUUACGCCUAAUCCACGUGAUGGGAUGAUAGGCUGGUCGCCAGGCAUGGGAGCCGUAUGGCAGACGCUAACCUCAACAUCCUGGAAAGGAGUCUGGCUGCCAGGCAUGGGAGCUGUAUGGCAGAUGCCGACCUCCAUUUCCUGGGUAGUGAGGCAGCCGCCGGGCAUGGUAGACCGAUGGCUGUCACUAACCCCACCCCCAUAAACACUGCCAGAGGUACCAGGAGCACUGGGCAUUUCCUUAUCUGAACCACGAAUAAAGCCAUGGGAGGGGAUAAGAGGCUGGCCGCCAGGCAUGGGAGCCGUAUGGCAGACGCCACCAUCAAUAUCCCGGAUAGGAAUCUGGCUGCCAGGCAUGGGAGCUGUAUGGCAAUUAUUGACCUCCAUAUCCCAGGUAGUGGGGCGGCCGCUGGGCAUGGUAGACCAAUGGCUGUCACCAAUCCCACCCCUAUAAACAGUGCAAAACGUAUCCAGGGCACCGUAUACUACCUUACCUGCGCCAGGAACCACGGCAUGGCAGCCACCUGUUAUAUUUGCGUCUGCAGCAGAUGCUGGUACCAUCUCAACCUCGUGACUGCGACCAGCUGUCCCCGCUUGCCCUGGCCUCUGCACAGCCCCACUUGUACCCAGCUGGGAAUUGUCUACCUAUGAAACCGGAGACUGGAAACCAGAGAAGGGGGAACCCCGUGAAGAGGAAAGAAAGAGGGAAAGCUGACCCAACGUCUCCUCCAUCUUACACAUGCGUUUAUGCAGCUGCUGAGACGAAGGGAAAGACUUACGCUUACCAGAAGACUAAGCCUUCCUCCUCUCAGUACAAUCUUUAAUACUAUCCAAAAGACAUUAGAAACUGGUCGUGUGACAAGGCCUUGCAGCAAUCACAAUGGGAAGUAAGGCUACAAAACACCUCCCUAUAUGACAGACACUCCCCAUGAGGGUCCACCAUGAGACGGGAGGGAACGAGAACAUUUCACACACUUACGUGGCAUAAUAACACACUCACAACUCCUGGUAGAAGAAAAACAAACCAAGAAGCGACGAAAGACAAACCAACCACUGUUGAAAAGAAAAAACAACAAUGGGCCGGUGAAAGAGAUGAGCUUUAGACUACGUGUAAGCCCUGUGACAGCAAAGAGGCGAAUGAGGGAAUUGGCCUGAUGGCUGAUAACUGGAAAUAGAAAAUGGGCAGGAUGUCUUUGCAAAGAAAACAAAUGGUGGUGGUGGUCCUGUCAUAUUGGAAGUGCUGUCAUCAAAUGUCCCAGGAGAGGUCAUCAGUGAAGUUAAUAUCAGUACUAGUCCUUCUCUCAGUAAGUGGCAGAAAAUCAUUCAGUUGGUCACCAAGGUCCAUGAUCCUCUGACCAGCAACUUGUAAUGGCCAAGACAUAAGGAAAGACCCAUACACCAGUGGCGCCAGCAGGGUUGGCCUGGGGUGGCAGCGGCCACCCCACUGGCCAGUCACAAAUAUCGGUUGAAAAUAUCGAUUGCCAAUUUUAUUUAUUUUUUUUACAGUGUUGCCAGUGCUUGAAAAAUUAACUCUAACCUUUAAAAGCAUGAAAGAAAAGUCUAAAUCCCAAAAAUCUUGAAAAAUCUACACCAACUGUAUGAAAUGUUCCCAAAAAUCUUGAAAAAUCUACACCAACUGUAUGAAAUGUUAGAGAGAGAGGGGAGGUGGUGCUGGCUCAGCUGAUGGCCUUACGUGUACAAUACACAUGGUAAUGUAACAUCACAGCAGUUGAGCAAACAUCGUCUGUGCGUCACCUUCCAGUACAUUCUUCUGCUUUGCUCUGCUGGUAAGUGUAUCCUACUAAAAUGAAACUUAAGCAUUAAUUAAUCAUAUUAAUCUUUACUGAUAUAUUUUCACCCUCUGGCAUUGUGCAUUAUUAUUCACUUAAAGACACUCAAAUAUUAUUUAUGUCCCACGAGAAAAUAGUAAAGCUGAGUGUGCCAUUCCAGGUGUGGUGUUGAGUAAAUUGAGUAAUCUAGCUGAUGAGAGGGGCAAAAAAAUGCCACAGUAGGUGGGGUCAUUGGGAUGUACUUGUAAGUAUAAUGAUUCUUAUGGAGCUACGGUCAGCUAUCAUUAGAUUGGAAACGCUAUAGUGUCAGGGACAAAGUGGACAGUACUUAUAGGUUUGCCAAAAAACACAGCAACUGGCGAAUAAUGUUGUUCUGAAAAUGCAAUUGCAGCACUGAGGAUCUGCAACAGGAGAAUAAAGUUGUAAUAAUAGUACUAGUAAAAUAAAAUUCCUGAAAUUA
This 5163-nucleotide long non-coding RNA is filed under the name Portunus trituberculatus (swimming crab). RNAcentral describes it as "uncharacterized LOC123515948, transcript variant X2". Lineage: Eukaryota; Metazoa; Arthropoda; Malacostraca; Decapoda; Portunidae. The record is from RNAcentral.